This is a non-coding RNA of Labeo rohita (rohu), 503 nucleotides long. NCBI's taxonomy places the organism in Eukaryota, Metazoa, Chordata, Actinopteri, Cypriniformes, Cyprinidae. The record is from the annotation of a RefSeq genome assembly.
AGAUCUGAUCUGCACUUUCUCAAGGAGUUCUCUGAAAGAGGUGGAGUUUAAAGCACUGAUAUCUGAUGUGACCUUCUUAAACUUGAAGUAUGUUAGAAAGAGAAUAAGAAACACUCACAAUGAUUCUCCAUUCUGUCAUUCUGCUUUCUGCCUUUGCAUAUGCAGCAUAUGGAAAUGAAAUUAAACCAACCAAAUCAGUGGAGUUUGCUGAUGAGUGUUCAAGUGUUAAAUUAUCCUGCAGUUAUUCAUCUGCAUAUGCUCUUCACUGGUAUUGUCAGUAUCCUGGAUCAGCUCCUGAGUUCAUUGUGCUCAUUUUAGAAGGUGCAAAAGAAGCUCAGGAGUCUAAUGUAGAUUCCAGAUUCACAACCAAAUUCACUACAGUCAAUAAAGAAAACCAUGUGGAUCUGGAGAUCUCCUCUGCUGCUGUAUCAGACUCUGCUCUGUACUACUGCGCCCUGGAGGCCACAUGUGCCGGGGGCAAGACAGAGUUGGACAGCCUUUGA